Small nuclear RNA from Telopea speciosissima, 99 nucleotides. The record is from RefSeq and is a predicted model, not a curated record. Lineage: Eukaryota; Viridiplantae; Streptophyta; Magnoliopsida; Proteales; Proteaceae.
CUCUUCUUCGGAGACAUCUGAUAGGAACAAUUUAGAGAAGAUUAGCAUGGCACUUGCGCAAGGAUGACAUGCACAAAUCGAGAAAUAUAAACUUUUUGC